UGGGGAAUAUUGGACAAUGGGGGCAACCCUGAUCCAGCCAUGCCGCGUGUGUGAAGAAGGCUUUCGGGUUGUAAAGCACUUUCAGCGAGGAGGAAGGCUCUGGAGCUAAUACCUUCAGGGAUUGACGUUACUCGCAGAAGAAGCACCGGCUAACUCCGUGCCAGCAGCCGCGGUAAUACGGAGGGUGCAAGCGUUAAUCGGAAUUACUGGGCGUAAAGCGCGCGUAGGUGGUUUGAUAAGCGAGAUGUGAAAGCCCCGGGCUUAACCUGGGAACGGCAUUUCGAACUGUCAGGCUAGAGUGUGGUAGAGGGGUGUGGAAUUUCCUGUGUAGCGGUGAAAUGCGUAGAUAUAGGAAGGAACACCAGUGGCGAAGGCGGCACCCUGGACCAACACUGACACUGAGGUGCGAAAGCGUGGGGAGCAAACA
Molecule: ribosomal RNA, 427 nt
Filed under: uncultured Marinobacter sp.
Lineage: Bacteria; Pseudomonadati; Pseudomonadota; Gammaproteobacteria; Pseudomonadales; Marinobacteraceae
Description: bacterial SSU rRNA
Rfam family: Bacterial small subunit ribosomal RNA
Source: RNAcentral